Salvia hispanica is the source of this 396-nucleotide long non-coding RNA. RefSeq lists it as uncharacterized. NCBI's taxonomy places the organism in Eukaryota, Viridiplantae, Streptophyta, Magnoliopsida, Lamiales, Lamiaceae. The record is from RefSeq and is a predicted model, not a curated record.
GUCAAACACAUUCUCUUUACACCACAUCACUCACAUAGGAUAGAUUAGUACGAGGAAGAAGAGGAAGAAGAGUUGAAGAUAAUUGUAUGAUGAAACCUACAAUCUAACAACACGUUUUCCACCUAUCAUCAAGGUUAUCUUUGCAAGUUAGAGUCGGAGCGAGAGUUUCGAGUUAAGGAAAUUAAACGAACGAGGUUAAGCGGUGACGACGAGGGGCGAUGUUGAGCAGGGAUGACGAAUGUGUUUCAGUGUGAUAAAUGCUUGGAUGCAUCGUGUCUUCAUACACGGUGUCAUUCUCUCUUGACUCUUCCGCUGCAAUGUAAAUAACGAGCUUAUGUUCCUUUGUAUCAUGCACUCUGAUAUAUUUUGCCAGUUAUUCAAAUUUAAUUUCAUUCA